AUUGAACGCUGGCGGCAUGCUUUACACAUGCAAGUCGAACGGUAACAGGCCUUCGGGUGCUGACGAGUGGCGCACGGGUGAGUAAUGCAUCGGAACGUACCCAGAGGUGGGGGAUAACGCAGCGAAAGCUGUGCUAAUACCGCAUGUGAUCUGAGGAUGAAAGCGGGGGACCGAGCAGCAAUGUUUGGCCUCGCGCCUUUGGAGCGGCCGAUGUCGGAUUAGCUAGUUGGUGGGGUAAAGGCCUACCAAGGCGACGAUCCGUAGCUGGUCUGAGAGGACGACCAGCCACACUGGGACUGAGACACGGCCCAGACUCCUACGGGAGGCAGCAGUGGGGAAUUUUGGGCAAUGGGCGCAAGCCUGAUCCAGCAAUGCCGCGUGCGGGAAGAAGGCCUUCGGGUUGUAAACCGCUUUUGGCAGGAACGAAACGGUGUCCGCUAAUACCGGGCGCUAAUGACGGUACCUGCAGAAUAAGCACCGGCUAACUACGUG
Molecule: ribosomal RNA, 492 nt
Filed under: uncultured bacterium
Lineage: Bacteria
Description: partial 16S ribosomal RNA
Rfam family: Bacterial small subunit ribosomal RNA
Source: RNAcentral